GCAAGUCGAGCGGACAGAUGGGAGCUUGCUCCCUGAUGUUAGCGGCGGACGGGUGAGUAACACGUGGGUAACCUGCCUGUAAGACUGGGAUAACUCCGGGAAACCGGGGCUAAUACCGGAUGCUUGUUUGAACCGCAUGGUUCAAACAUAAAAGGUGGCUUCGGCUACCACUUACAGAUGGACCCGCGGCGCAUUAGCUAGUUGGUGAGGUAACGGCUCACCAAGGCAACGAUGCGUAGCCGACCUGAGAGGGUGAUCGGCCACACUGGGACUGAGACACGGCCCAGACUCCUACGGGAGGCAGCAGUAGGGAAUCUUCCGCAAUGGACGAAAGUCUGACGGAGCAACGCCGCGUGAGUGAUGAAGGUUUUCGGAUCGUAAAGCUCUGUUGUUAGGGAAGAACAAGUACCGUUCGAAUAGGGCGGUACCUUGACGGUACCUAACCAGAAAGCCACGGCUAACUACGUGCCAGCAGCCGCGGUAAUACGUAGGUGGCAAGCGUUGUCCGGAAUUAUUGGGCGUAAAGGGCUCGCAGGCGGUUUCUUAAGUCUGAUGUGAAAGCCCCCGGCUCAACCGGGGAGGGUCAUUGGAAACUGGGGAACUUGAGUGCAGAAGAGGAGAGUGGAAUUCCACGUGUAGCGGUGAAAUGCGUAGAGAUGUGGAGGAACACCAGUGGCGAAGGCGACUCUCUGGUCUGUAACUGACGCUGAGGAGCGAAAGCGUGGGGAGCGAACAGGAUUAAAUACCCUGGUAGUCCACGCC
Molecule: ribosomal RNA, 762 nt
Filed under: Bacillus sp. CSu2_10
Lineage: Bacteria; Bacillati; Bacillota; Bacilli; Caryophanales; Bacillaceae
Description: bacterial SSU rRNA
Rfam family: Bacterial small subunit ribosomal RNA
Source: RNAcentral